This 3131-nucleotide ribosomal RNA is filed under the name Pseudonocardia sp. HH130630-07. RNAcentral's name for it is "bacterial LSU rRNA". It matches the Rfam family "Bacterial large subunit ribosomal RNA". Lineage: Bacteria; Bacillati; Actinomycetota; Actinomycetes; Pseudonocardiales; Pseudonocardiaceae. The record is from RNAcentral.
AGUGGAUGCGAGCAUCUUGUUGUGGUCAAGUUGUUAAGAGCACAUGGUGGAUACCUAGGCAUCAGGAGCCGAUGAAGGACGUGGGAGACCGCGAUAGUCCUCGGGGAGUUGUCAACCGAACUGUGAUCCGAGGGUGUCCGAAUGGGGAAACCCAGCACCCGUCAUGGGGUGUUACCCGUACCUGAAUUCAUAGGGUGCGUGGAGGGAACGUGGGGAAGUGAAACAUCUCAGUACCCACAGGAAGAGAAAACAAUAGUGAUUCCGUGAGUAGUGGCGAGCGAAAGCGGAAGAGGCUAAACCGUGUCCGUGUCAAGCCGGCAGGUGUUGCGGGUGCGGGGUUGUGAGGCGUGUCGUUCAUCUUCUGCCGAGGGUGGGACAAUUGAUGACUGUGUUAGCGGAACGAUUCUGGGAUGGUCGGCCGUAGUGGGUGAGAGCCCCGUACGCGAAAAUGCAGUUGUGGUUGUGGGCAUUGUUCUCGAGUAGCAGCGAGCUCGUGGAAUUUGCUGUGAAUCUGGCGGGACCACCCGUCAAGCCUAAAUACUACCUGAUGACCGAUAGCGGACUAGUACCGUGAGGGAAAGGUGAAAAGUACCCCGGGAGGGGAGUGAAAUAGUACUUGAAACCGUGUGCUUACAAGCCGUCAGAGCCUGAAGUGGUCUUGUACUGCAGGGUGAUGGCGUGCCUUUUGAAGAAUGAGCCUGCGAGUUAUGCUUCGUGGCGAGGUUAACCCGUUGUGGGGUAGCCGUAGCGAAAGCGAGUCCGAAUAGGGCGGUGGAGUCGCGGGGUGUAGACCCGAAGCGGAGUGAUCUACCCAUGGCCAGGGUGAAGCGUCGGUAAGACGUCGUGGAGGCCCGAACCCACCAGGGUUGAAAACCUGGGGGAUGAGCUGUGGGUAGGGGUGAAAGGCCAAUCAAACUUCGUGAUAGCUGGUUCUCCCCGAAAUGCAUUUAGGUGCAGCGUCGUGUGUUUCUCGCCGGAGGUAGAGCACUGGAUGGCCUAGGGGGCCUACAAGCUUACUGAAGUUAGCCAAACUCCGAAUGCCGGUGAGUGAGAGCGCGGCAGUGAGACUGCGGGGGAUAAGCUUCGUGGUCGAGAGGGAAACAGCCCAGAUCACCGGCUAAGGCCCCUAAGUGUGCGCUAAGUGGGAAAGGAUGUGGGAUCGCAGAGACAACCAGGAGGUUGGCUUAGAAGCAGCCACCCUUGAAAGAGUGCGUAAUAGCUCACUGGUCAAGUGGUCCUGCGCCGACAAUGUAGCGGGGCUCAAGCGCACCGCCGAAGCCGUGGCAAUGACACUUGAGUGUGUUGUUGGGUAGGGGAGCGUCCUGCAUCUGGUGAAGCCCGGGAGUGAUUUACGGGUGGAGGGUGUGGGAGUGAGAAUGCAGGCAUGAGUAGCGAAUGAAGAGUGAGAAUCUCUUCCGCCGGAUGACCAAGGGUUCCUGGGCCAGGUUGUUCCGCCCAGGGUGAGCCGGGACCUAAGGCGAGGCCGUCAGGCGUAGUCGAUGGACAACGGGUUGAUAUUCCCGUGCUCGUGAUAGUGCGUCCAUGCUGAGGCCGGUGAUGCUAACCAUCCGAACCUACCUCGGUUCCUUCGGGAGCUGUGUUUGUGGGGGAGCGUGGGAUCCGAUCCGGUAGUAGGCAAGUGAUGGGGUGACGCAGGAGGGUAGCUCCGCCACGCGGUGGUUGUCGUGGUGUAAGCCUGUAGCCUGGUCUUCUAGGUAAAUCCGGAGGAUCGUGAAGGGUGAGAGGUGACGCGUAGCCGAUUGAGGCGAAGUGAGUGAUCCCAUGCUGUCGAGAAAAGCCUCUAGCGAGUGCUGUUGCGGCCCGUACCCCAAACCGACACAGGUGGUCAGGUAGAGAAUACCGAGGCGAUCGAGCGAACUGUGGUUAAGGAAUUCGGCAAAAUGCCCCCGUAACUUCGGGAGAAGGGGGGCCAUCUGUCGUGAAGCCAUGUGCUGGUGGAGCGGUGGGUGGUCGCAGAGACCAGGCCCAAGCGACUGUUUACUAAAAACACAGGUCCGUGCGAAGUCGCAAGACGAUGUAUACGGACUGACGCCUGCCCGGUGCUGGAACGUUAAGAGGACCUGUUAGUCCCUUCGGGGGCGAAGCGGAGAAUUUAAGCGCCAGUAAACGGCGGUGGUAACUAUAACCAUCCUAAGGUAGCGAAAUUCCUUGUCGGGUAAGUUCCGACCUGCACGAAUGGCGUAACGACUUGGGCGCUGUCUCGACCACAGACUCGGCGAAAUUGCAUUACGAGUAAAGAUGCUCGUUACGCGCGGCAGGACGGAAAGACCCCGGGACCUUUACUAUAGCUUGGUAUUGGUGCUCGGUUCGGCUUGUGUAGGAUAGGUGGGAGACUGUGAAGCGUUCACGCUAGUGGGUGUGGAGUCGUUGUUGAAAUACCACUCUGGUCGAAUUGGGUGUCUUAACCUCGGGCCAUGAUCUGGUUCAGGGACAGUGCCUGGUGGGUAGUUUAACUGGGGCGGUUGCCUCCUAAAGAGUAACGGAGGCGCCCAAAGGUUCCCUCAGCCUGGUUGGCAAUCAGGUGUUGAGUGUAAGUGCACAAGGGAGCUUGACUGUGAGACUGACGGGUCGAGCAGGGACGAAAGUCGGGACUAGUGAUCCGGCACCUCCUGGUGGAAGGGGUGUCGCUCAACGGAUAAAAGGUACCCCGGGGAUAACAGGCUGAUCUUGCCCAAGAGUCCAUAUCGACGGCAUGGUUUGGCACCUCGAUGUCGGCUCGUCGCAUCCUGGGGCUGGAGUAGGUCCCAAGGGUUGGGCUGUUCGCCCAUUAAAGCGGUACGCGAGCUGGGUUUAGAACGUCGUGAGACAGUUCGGUCCCUAUCCGCCGCGCGCGUUGGAGACUUGAGGAAGGCUGUCCCUAGUACGAGAGGACCGGGACGGACGAACCUCUGGUGUGCCAGUUGUCCCGCCAGGGGCACGGCUGGUUGGCUAUGUUCGGGAGGGAUAACCGCUGAAGGCAUCUAAGCGGGAAGCCUGUUCCAAGAUGAGGUCUCCCACCACCUUGAGUGGGUAAGGCUCCCAGUAGAUGACUGGGUUGAUAGGCCGGAGAUGGAAGCCUUGUGAGGGGUGGAGUUGACCGGUACUAAUAGGCCGAGGGCUUGCCACAACAU